This 227-nucleotide ribosomal RNA is filed under the name uncultured crenarchaeote. Its description in RNAcentral is "partial 16S ribosomal RNA". It matches the Rfam family "Archaeal small subunit ribosomal RNA", at positions 694 to 920 of the family's 1478-position model. Lineage: Archaea; Thermoproteati; Thermoproteota. The record is from RNAcentral.
ACGGUGAGGGAUGAAAGCUGGGGGAGCAAACCGGAUUAGAUACCCGGGUAGUCCCAGCUGUAAACGAUGCAGACUCGGUGAUGAAUUGGCUUAUUGCUAAUUCAGUGCCGCAGGGAAGCCGUUAAGUUUGCCGCCUGGGGAGUACGGUCGCAAGACUGAAACUUAAAGGAAUUGGCGGGGGGGCACCACAAGGGGUGAAGCCUGCGGUUCAAUUGGAGUCAACGCCG